ACCAGCAAAAGAGAGAUUUGGAGAAAGAGAAGGAAGCAGCUCACAGAACAGAAGGUCAGGAGAGUCCCAAGGAGAAGGAUCAUAUCUGGUUUCCUCUUCUGCCUCUACCCGGUGUCUAGGAGAGUGCACGCUCAGUCAGCAUUGAUAACUAACUCCGAAUGCAGAUGUGAUGGUUGGAGCUCCAGCUGCUAUAUUGGACUAUGAAGACAAGGGUCACCCCUCUGGAUGGGACAGUGCGGAGUUGGAAGAAGCUCAGGUCCCUGAGGAUUUUGUGGAGUAGAUCCAUACCAGCACAUACAGGCUGACUGCAGACAUUAAUUUUAUCUCAUGCCCCUGGAAGCUAAGCCCAGUUCAAAUGGCUGCUAUCUUUCUGUCUACUGUGUAGGGAACAAUAGUGGAGGGAUAAGAGUGAAAAUAGGGAUAGUCUCUAUUUCAUAAAU
Piliocolobus tephrosceles (Ugandan red Colobus) is the source of this 440-nucleotide long non-coding RNA. RefSeq lists it as uncharacterized. NCBI's taxonomy places the organism in Eukaryota, Metazoa, Chordata, Mammalia, Primates, Cercopithecidae. The record is from RefSeq and is a predicted model, not a curated record. The transcript has 3 exons.